RNAcentral lists this unclassified non-coding RNA (170 nucleotides) under Fusarium keratoplasticum. RNAcentral's name for it is "partial internal transcribed spacer 2". The record is from RNAcentral. Lineage: Eukaryota; Fungi; Ascomycota; Sordariomycetes; Hypocreales; Nectriaceae.
CAACCCUCAGGCCCCCGGGCCUGGCGUUGGGGAUCGGCGAGGCGCCCCCUGCGGGCACACGCCGUCCCCCAAAUACAGUGGCGGUCCCGCCGCAGCUUCCAUUGCGUAGUAGCUAACACCUCGCAACUGGAGAGCGGCGCGGCCACGCCGUAAAACCCCCAACUUCUGAA